This 468-nucleotide ribosomal RNA is filed under the name uncultured bacterium. Its description in RNAcentral is "partial 16S ribosomal RNA". It matches the Rfam family "Bacterial small subunit ribosomal RNA", at positions 28 to 507 of the family's 1533-position model. The record is from RNAcentral.
GACGAACGCUGGCGGCGUGCUUAACACAUGCAGGUCGAACGGAAAGGCCCUGCUUUUGUGGGGUGCUCGAGUGGCGAACGGGUGAGUAACACGUGAGUAACCUGCCCUUGACUUUGGGAUAACUUCAGGAAACUGGGGCUAAUACCGGAUAGGAGCUCCUGCUGCAUGGUGGGGGUUGGAAAGUUUCGGCGGUUGGGGAUGGACUCGCGGCUUAUCAGCUUGUUGGUGGGGUAGUGGCUUACCAAGGCUUUGACGGGUAGCCGGCCUGAGAGGGUGACCGGGGCAAUGGGGGGUAAGAUACGGCGCAGGGGGGAACGGGGGAGAGGGGGGGGGAGGAGGGGAAAGUGGGACGGAGUGUGGUGCAGCGGAGCCGCGGGCGGAAAGACGGCGGUGGGGAUAUGGAAAGCAUAAGCCUGUGAGGACGAGGGGGUGACGGUAAUGGAAAAAGAAGGAACGGCUAACUAGGUG